UACGUAGGGGGCAAGCGUUGUCCGGAAUCAUUGGGCGUAAAGCGCGUGUAGGCGGCCCGGUAAGUCCGCUGUGAAAGUCCAGGACUCAACCCUGGAAUGCCGGUGGAUACUGUCGGGCUCGAGUCCGGAAGAGGCGAGUGGAAUUCCUGGUGUAGCGGCGAAAUGCGCAGAUAUCAGGAGGAACACCGAUGGCGAAGGCAGCUCGCUGGGACGGUACUGACGCUGAGACGCGAAGGCGUGGGGAGCAAACAGG
Molecule: ribosomal RNA, 253 nt
Filed under: uncultured bacterium
Lineage: Bacteria
Description: partial 16S ribosomal RNA
Rfam family: Bacterial small subunit ribosomal RNA
Source: RNAcentral